UGUCAGCUGAGGCGCUCACGCCGCAUCCGGCAAUCAACGUCUGAUGCGACGCUUGCGCGUCUUAUCAGACC
This 71-nucleotide non-coding RNA is filed under the name Escherichia coli. Its description in RNAcentral is "Nucleoid-associated noncoding RNA 4 (CssrE)". It matches the Rfam family "Nucleoid-associated noncoding RNA 4 (CssrE)". Rfam says of the family: In E. coli small RNA transcribed from repeated extragenic palindromic element (REP325) called nucleoid-associated ncRNA 4 (nRNA4) collaborates HU protein in condensing the DNA. The secondary structure but not the sequence of the RNA is important in nucleoid condensation. Lineage: Bacteria; Pseudomonadati; Pseudomonadota; Gammaproteobacteria; Enterobacterales; Enterobacteriaceae. The record is from RNAcentral.